Molecule: long non-coding RNA, 816 nt
Organism: Colossoma macropomum (tambaqui)
Lineage: Eukaryota; Metazoa; Chordata; Actinopteri; Characiformes; Serrasalmidae
Exons: 4
Source: RefSeq, a predicted model, not a curated record
UCCUGCAGGGGGCGCGGUGUGUUUUGCUGCUGUGUGUUGAAGCCCUUAACGGCUCCGUCUCUCCUGCUGCUGCUGCUGUUUGACCUUCUGCAGGCUGCGCAGUUAAAGCGGAUAAAAUGGUGCCUCCGGUGCAGGUUUCUCCUCUAAUUAAGACAGCCAGAUACUCUGCGCUGAUUGUAGGAAUCCUCUAUGGCAAGAAGAGAUACGAUUACCUGAAGCCCAUCGCAGAGGAGGAGAGGCGGAUUGAGGAGGAAGAGAAGAAAGUGAGGGAGGAAAAAGAACGGAUCGCAAAGCAGCUUGCAGAGGCAAGUGAAGACACGAUCCUGAAGUGAGCUGUUUGUGGUGUGAAGUCUGUUAUGGACCCGUUCUGGAGGUCUUUCUCUCUCUGCUCUGCCAAUUUCUUUAUCCUCUGCCUUCCACUCGCCACGUUCCCUCCCACCAGCCGCGCUGGACAAACGCCUCCUGAUUAGAGCGCAUUAAGAAUUGUGUAAACACGUAUGAACAUGUAUAAAUGUGAUUUAUGCCUUGAGUCGUCUGAGUGAUGGGAAACUGUACUGGUUCCCGAUCCCACCUCUGAGGAACCCUUCGCUCUAGAACACUCUAUUACCAUCACAAAGAAUACAAAUAACAGAAAAUGGUCCCAUUGACUUGGAUUGAGAACCUCUUUGGAACAUUCUAUAAAAAAGGCUCUUAAUGUUGUUAAUUUUCUUUCAGUUCACUUUCUGUUGACUCGGCUAUCAUGAGGUGUGAAGUGUUGGCUCAGAACAUGGUUUAUUAUGAGUAUUUAUAAAUAAAUCUAGUUCACCCACUGAGUCU